ACUUUUAUAGGAUAACAGUAAUCCGUUGGUCUUAGGAACCAAAGACUUGGUGCAAAUCCAAAUAAAAGUA
This 70-nucleotide transfer RNA is filed under the name Chlamyphorus truncatus (Pink fairy armadillo). RNAcentral describes it as "tRNA-Leu". It matches the Rfam family "tRNA". Rfam says of the family: Transfer RNA (tRNA) molecules are approximately 80 nucleotides in length. Lineage: Eukaryota; Metazoa; Chordata; Mammalia; Cingulata; Chlamyphoridae. The record is from RNAcentral.